GUGGGGAAUAUUGGACAAUGGACCAAGAGUCUGAUCCAGCAAUUCUGUGUGCACGAUGAAGUUUUUCGGAAUGUAAAGUGCUUUCAGUUGGGAAGAAAAAAAUGACGGUACCAACAGAAGAAGUGACGGCUAAAUACGUGCCAGCAGCCGCGGUAAUACGUAUGUCACAAGCGUUAUCCGGAUUUAUUGGGCGUAAAGCGCGUCUAGGUGGUUAUGUAAGUCUGAUGUGAAAAUGCAGGGCUCAACUCUGUAUUGCGUUGGAAACUGUGUAACUAGAGUACUGGAGAGGUAAGCGGAACUACAAGUGUAGAGGUGAAAUUCGUAGAUAUUUGUAGGAAUGCCGAUGGGGAAGCCAGCUUACUGGACAGAUACUGACGCUGAAGCGCGAAAGCGUGGGUAGCAAACAGGAUUAGAAACCCUAGUAGUCC
This 428-nucleotide ribosomal RNA is filed under the name uncultured bacterium. RNAcentral describes it as "bacterial SSU rRNA". It matches the Rfam family "Bacterial small subunit ribosomal RNA", at positions 354 to 796 of the family's 1533-position model. The record is from RNAcentral.